CCUCCCGGACCACCAACGAAGGUGGGAUUGGGCGCCGCUGGAAAGGGUAGGAGGGUGGAGAGGGAGUGCAACCCUUCGGAGGAGCGUGGAUUGGGGGCACCCUCAUUAGAGCGGCUGCAGGCCUUUGGGUCGCUCAUCUCCUUCCUAGGCAACUAUCGCUAGUACUGAUGGAGUACCUACUAUGUGCGAAGCAGUGUUCUAAAAGGCUCAGCUCUCUUCAUUCUCACCUCAACCCCGUCAUCGAUUAGUUCCACCAUUUUACAGCAGGUAAGGCAGCUGGGACCUGCGGAGCCUCCAGCAUGAAGAGGAGGCUCAUAAUCAUCUGGAGAUGUCCCAUCCUGACCAGUCCCCUUCGUGUCCCAUCCCAACUCCUGUUCUUGGCUGUGCCGGCUGUCCCCUCCCCUGUCCUCUCCACCUCCUCUGUGCAGCCUAGAGACAACCCAGGAAAACCUUCCCUCAUCCUUAUCUACACCUUCCCCUCCCUGCCUUCCCCAGUUCCAGCUCUUUUCCAUACAACAGACUUAACUCUCACAGAGCGAUUAAAGAGAAAAACCACAGCCCAAAAUGGCCUUCAUACCUGAUCUAAUUGCAGUUUCAACCUUUCCCAGAAAUGUAAUCUUAAUCAGUCUGGAAUUUUCUGGUCAGGCAUCAGUAAGGUAACCUGUCACAUGGGCCCUGUCCAUCCUGCAUAGAAAGAAGAGGUGAUCUGCGUGAUAAAAACCCUUUCCUUUCUCUUCCCCACACAAAAAAAGUCCCAGCCCCCAAAUAAUCCUUUUCUUUUGUCAAUAGCUCCCUUGCCCCACCCUUAUUCCUAUAAACUUUCCAUGCCCUUCUAGUUGCUAGGUGGGAAGCUGCCUGAUUCAUGAAUUGCUUA
This is a long non-coding RNA of Hipposideros armiger (great roundleaf bat), 874 nucleotides long. RefSeq lists it as uncharacterized. The record is from RefSeq and is a predicted model, not a curated record. Lineage: Eukaryota; Metazoa; Chordata; Mammalia; Chiroptera; Hipposideridae. The transcript is spliced from 3 exons.